UACAGAGGUCCCAAGCGUUGUUCGGAUUCACUGGGCGUAAAGGGUGCGUAGGUGGUGGGCUAAGUCAGGUGUGAAAUCUCCGGGCUCAACCCGGAGGGUGCGCCUGAAACUGGUUCGCUAGAGGGUGGGAGGGGAGACUGGAAUUCUCGGUGUAGCAGUGAAAUGCGUAGAUAUCGAGAGGAACACCGGUGGCGAAGGCGAGUCUCUGGACCAUUCCUGACACUGAGGCACGAAAGCCGGGGGAGCAAAC
RNAcentral lists this ribosomal RNA (250 nucleotides) under uncultured bacterium. Its description in RNAcentral is "partial 16S ribosomal RNA". It matches the Rfam family "Bacterial small subunit ribosomal RNA", at positions 524 to 773 of the family's 1533-position model. The record is from RNAcentral.